This 79-nucleotide microRNA precursor is filed under the name Nomascus leucogenys (northern white-cheeked gibbon). RNAcentral's name for it is "miRNA (ENSNLEG00000030329.1)". Lineage: Eukaryota; Metazoa; Chordata; Mammalia; Primates; Hylobatidae. The record is from RNAcentral.
GGUUGGUGCAAAAGUAAUUGUGGUUUUUGUCAUUGAAGGUAAUGGCCAAAUUCACAAUUACUUUUGCACCAACCUAAUA